GACGAACGCUGGCGGCGUGCUUAACACAUGCAGGUCGAACGGAAAGGCCCUGCUUUUGUUGGGUGCUCGAGUGGCGAACGGGUGAGUAACACGUGAGUAACCUGCCCUUGACUUUGGGAUAACUUCAGGAAACUGGGGCUAAUACCGGAUAGGAGCUCCUGCUGCAUGGUGGGGGUUGGAAAGUUUCGGCGGUUGGGGAUGGACUCGCGGCUUAUCAGCUUGUUGGUGUGGUAGUGGCUUACCAAGGCUUUGACGGGUAGCCGGCCUGAGAGGGUGACCGGCCACAUUGGGACUGAGAUACGGCCCAGACUCCUACGGGAGGCAGCAGUGGGGAAUAUUGCACAAUGGGCGGAAGCCUGAUGCAGCAACGCCGCGUGCGGGAUGACGGCCUUCGGGUUGUAAACCGCUUUCGCAUGUGACGAAGCGUGAGUGACGGUAAUGGGUAAAGAAGCACCGGCUAACUACGUG
This 468-nucleotide ribosomal RNA is filed under the name uncultured bacterium. RNAcentral describes it as "partial 16S ribosomal RNA". It matches the Rfam family "Bacterial small subunit ribosomal RNA", at positions 28 to 507 of the family's 1533-position model. The record is from RNAcentral.